Molecule: ribosomal RNA, 254 nt
Filed under: uncultured prokaryote
Description: partial 16S ribosomal RNA
Rfam family: Bacterial small subunit ribosomal RNA
Source: RNAcentral
UAAUACGUAGGGUGCAAGCGUUGUCCGGAAUUACUGGGCGUAAAGCGCACGUAGGCGGCUUUGCAAGUUAGAGGUGAAAGCCCGGGGCUCAACUCCGGAAUUGCCUUUAAAACUGCAUCGCUAGAAUUGUGGAGAGGUAAGUGGAAUUCCGAGUGUAGAGGUGAAAUUCGUAGAUAUUCGGAAGAACACCAGUGGCGAAGGCGACUUACUGGACACAUAUUGACGCUGAGGUGCGAAAGCGUGGGGAGCAAACA